This 460-nucleotide ribosomal RNA is filed under the name uncultured bacterium. Its description in RNAcentral is "partial 16S ribosomal RNA". It matches the Rfam family "Bacterial small subunit ribosomal RNA", at positions 338 to 795 of the family's 1533-position model. The record is from RNAcentral.
CCUACGGGAGGCAGCAGUGAGGAAUAUUGGUCAAUGGACGAGAGUCUGAACCAGCCAAGUAGCGUGAAGGAUGACUGCCCUAUGGGUUGUAAACUUCUUUUAUAAAGGAAUAAAACGAGGCACGUGUGCCCUUUUGCAUGUACUUUAUGAAUAAGGAUCGGCUAACUCCGUGCCAGCAGCCGCGGUAAUACGGAGGAUCCGAGCGUUAUCCGGAUUUAUUGGGUUUAAAGGGAGCGUAGAUGGGUUGUUAAGUCAGUUGUGAAAGUUUGCGGCUCAACCGUAAAAUUGCAAUUGAUACUGGCAGUCUUGAGUACAGUUGAGGUAGGCGGAAUUCGGGGUGUAGCGGUGAAAUGCUUAGAUAUCACGAAGAACCCCGAUUGCGAAGGCAGCUUACUAAACUGUCACUGACAUUGAUGCUCGAAAGUGUGGGUAUCAAACAGGAUUAGAUACCCUGGUAGUC